Non-coding RNA from Tetranychus urticae (two-spotted spider mite), 2814 nucleotides. The record is from RefSeq and is a predicted model, not a curated record. Lineage: Eukaryota; Metazoa; Arthropoda; Arachnida; Trombidiformes; Tetranychidae.
ACAGCCAAGCUCAAAACAGCCAAGUCCAAAAUGGCCAAAGUCAGAACAGCCAAAUACAAAGCUGCUUAAAUCAUAUAAAUUCAAAUUGCAAAAAAGUCCACAAAAAACCUUUCUAUGGAUAUUGAUAAGCUAAUUAAUUAUAGUUAAUUAACUCCGAUCGAGUCAAAAAAUGGUCUACAUGCACCUUUAUCGAUGCUCUUGUGUCCUUAAAAUUAUUGAGUCAAUUGAUUAAAUCAAACUUAUUCAAAAUUGAAGCAAAAGUCAGUGGUAAAAAACAAAAGUACAUUUUGUUACCCCUGCUAAAUCUGAUCAUUUAAAUAGUUUAUUUGAUUUAAGCAGCUUUGUAUUUGGCUGUUCUGACUUUGGCCGUUUUGGACUUGCUGUUUUGAGAUUGGCUGUUUUGACUUUGGCUGUUUUGGACCCAAACCGUUUAUAACUGUGAAAUUAAUAAUCUUUUUAUUGUAAAUUAUUAUAUUGGCUAAAUAGUAUCAAUCAAUCUUAAUUUACAUGUUAAAGGCCAUUUCUGCUUACCUAUUAUCAAGUAAUUUUCUUAUGAUUAUCAUGACAAUAAUUAGUAGUGUUUUCUGUGUUGUUGUCAUGUUAGUCACUUGAAUCUUAAAUACAAAAUGAUAAUCUUUUACUUAUCAUUUAAUGGUAUAAUGAAUAUCUUUUUUGUUUUUACAUUUAAUUGUUUGUUGUUAUGUUGAAAACGUUCAUCUUUAACACGAAUAUUUGUCUACAUUGCAAACAAAUUUGUAUUAGCUACCAAUGAUCACAAUUACAAGAUAAGUGUUUACUCUAGGAUGUAAUUGGAAAAAGAUUACCUAGGAAAUGGACCUUAACUGGCAGUCUGGAAGAGAUGAUCAUACAUAUUUGAAUAGUCAAAGUUAAACUACGGAGGCUAACUUGGUUUUGUAUAUUCAAUUUUUUAACUUACAAGACAAGUCAUUACAAGAAGCAUCAAGAAAAAAAAAAGUUACCAGAGAAGAGGCCAUCAACGAGAAAAAUGAAGCCAAAAAGAUAAACGGUUAAAAUUUUUUAGUCCAAUUGCAUUUUUCUAGUUAUAGUAGUACGUUGUUGUAUGGAAACGAACGGUAAUUGGCGGAUAAUAUGGAUUUCUAAUGACCUUUAAUAGGUAAUAAUGAGAUGGACAAAUUGUUUGUUACCAUUUAAACUGCUUAAAGUGAAAGGCAGCAAGAAUGGAAAUUGUUUGCAAGUCAAACUUGGAAACAUUAAGCAAUUACAAAGAAGCAAAGUUCGUUCCAUUUUACAUUGAGGUUGGCUCUUUUCAGAUGCAAGUUUAAGAACAAGAAAUAAUUAUCUACAUAAUAAAUGGAAAAUCAUGCAUGGAAUUUGUGACUGACUUCAAUCUGUUGCAGUUUGUAAUAGUUUCAACUGCUGAAUUACGAUCUAUCAAAAAGAAAGAAGCAAAAGAGUGAUAAAGGAAAUAUUAUUUCAAUUCCAAAUUCAAUUAAUUCCGGUAUUUCCGUUCAAGGAGAUUAAAGAUCAAGGUGAUUCAAAGUAACGUCGAGAUACGUUGAGUGAAGGUGAAAAGCAAGAAGAAACCACGGAAACGCAGAAGUCAAUGUAUACAUAAUCUUAUUGAACAAUCCUCUGUAUGUUCACUUUUCAGCCUAAGGCAGUCUUCCUAAUAUUACCAAUAUUUAGACCAAAACUGUGGCCAAGGAAAGCCCUUAACCAUUCCAAAUCUGAACCUUACCCAUUAUUUUUCAUUAUGUUUUCAUCUUGCUUUCAACGUUUCACUUUUUUGCUUCAAAAAAUUUCUCUAACCUGUCUUCUCGUCAAUUUUUUAAUACAUUUUUUUACAGAUAAAUUCUUGAUUGUAUUCUUACAUUUGAUUGUUAAGAAAUGCGAUUAUUUUUUAUUGUAAUUAUCAUGUGAAUGAAGCAUUUACUUAACUUUGUUUUUUUCAUUCUCAUUCUUACAGGUCUUCCAGUUUUUUCCUUUCCUUUUCACUUGGAUGACAGAGUUGUGAGAUUCAACAUUACCAUGAAGAUAUGAUAAGAAUUUUAAAAGGCUCAAUAAGACACGUACGAAAGGCUUUUAUUUCAUCAACUGAUUUAAUUGAUUAACAUACGUAAAAACAUAAUAUAAUCAAGAUCAGACCGUUUAUUCACCAAAUACUAUAAUAGCUACAGCAUAUUAACUCAUUCAGUUUUUGAAUUCUGUUGAUUACAUCUCUAUUAUCAACUCUAAAUCCGGUUAUUGAACACUUAUUUGUACACAAAUUAUUUAUAGACUUGUAUUUUUUUCUAAUAAUAUGGCAAAUAUAUUUUCUGUAUGAAAAAAACUGCAUAAUCAAGUUAAGUAGUACUUUUGAAUGGAUAAUUUUUUACUACCAACAAUGCUUGACUUUUUACCUGUAACCUGUCUCAUUGCUUCCUUUUUGCUUCAAUUUUUCUUUCUUAUUCUUACCUUUGUAUUAUUAUCUGUUUUUGCUUCUUGUUUUGCUUCAUUUUAUUUACCUUCUCAUUGUGAGGUUGUUUACUUACAUCAAAUAAGACAUUAUUUUGGUUGAUGAUUGAAAAUCAUGACCAUGAUUGCUAUCUUCAAGUCACAGAGAUUGAGAGAGGUUAACUUGAAUCAAUGAUUAUAAUGAUAAUGAUAACAAUAAUAACAAUAAUUAUAAAGAAUUUGUUCACUUUAUUUCAUCGUUUAGCUUCGUUUUGUAAAAAAGUAACAUUUAUUAAUCAAUCAUACAAUUUAACCCAUCAAAUUGUCCCAAUAAUACGCAUAAUUAAUAUUAAUAGUUGAAUUUACAAUAGUAAUUCCAAUUGAUUUUACCAAAACUGA